GAUGAAGAACGCAGCGAAAUGCGAUACUUGGUGUGAAUUGCAGAAUCCCGUGAACCAUCGAGUCUUUGAACGCAUGUUGCGCCCGAAGCCAUUAGGCCGAGGGCACGCCUGCCUGGGCGUCACACGUCGUUGCCCCCCCAUCUACUCCUUCGGGAUUGCGGGGGGCGGAUGAUGGCCUCCCGUGCGCCUCGUCGCGCGGUUGGCAUAAAUGCCAAGUCCUCGGCGACGCACGCCACGACAAUCGGUGGUUGCGAAACCUCGGUUGCCCGUCGUGUGCGGUCGUCGCGCAUCGAGGGCUCGAAAAAAUUGCCGGGCUCCGGCUCGGCUUUCAACGCGACCCCAGGUCAGGCGGGGUUACCCGCUGAAUUUAAGCAUAUCAAUAAGCGGAGGA
Molecule: unclassified non-coding RNA, 391 nt
Filed under: soil metagenome
Description: partial contains 5.8S ribosomal RNA, internal transcribed spacer 2, and large subunit ribosomal RNA
Rfam family: 5.8S ribosomal RNA (bases 1-122)
Source: RNAcentral